CACCGCGGUUAUACGAGAGGCCUAAGUUAACAGACACCGGCGUAAAGAGUGGUUAAGGAGAAGUCAAAACUAAAGCCGAAUAACCUCAAGACUGUUAUACGUUACCGAGGACAAGAAGCCCAACUACGAAAGUGGCUUUAAUUUCCCCGACUCCACGAAAGCUGUGAAA
This 169-nucleotide ribosomal RNA is filed under the name Hemiramphus far (blackbarred halfbeak). RNAcentral describes it as "partial small subunit ribosomal RNA". Lineage: Eukaryota; Metazoa; Chordata; Actinopteri; Beloniformes; Hemiramphidae. The record is from RNAcentral.